RNAcentral lists this ribosomal RNA (2847 nucleotides) under Triticum aestivum (bread wheat). Its description in RNAcentral is "partial small subunit ribosomal RNA". Lineage: Eukaryota; Viridiplantae; Streptophyta; Magnoliopsida; Poales; Poaceae. The record is from RNAcentral.
AUGUCUGUUUUCAAUCCUUCAGUCCAUGACAAUGACUAUGACGAUGACGAUACCCCGAUAUCCUUCAAGAGGUCGUCAAGCAGCAGGCCGCCCCCCUCGAAGCAGGAAGGCUCAUCGGCAAAUAUCACCUAUGUUGGGAGCCCUAAGGCUGCAGCCUCGAAUCAGCAGAGGAAUGGGAUUAAUGGCGCUUCCAGGUCGCCGCUGCCACCGAAGCCACAGUCGACCAGCUCAAACCCUCGACCUUCAGGGUCUGUUCAGCCUAACAGUUCUCUAGAACGGAGUCAAAAGAGUAACACAGUGGAUAAGAGUAAAAUGAAAAGACCUCAGGUCAAAGGUGACAAGUCAGAUGAUUCAGAUGAUGACAAGCCACUUGCUUUGAGGAAAAAGCCUGACACGAAAUUAAAGAAAGUUGUCACAGGAGGUGAGAAUGCAUAUGGUUCAGGAGAUGAUCGUAAGCCACUUGGUAUGAAUAUCAACUCAGCAAAAGUGGCUUCUAAUAAUAGCACAAAUAAGACCUUUUUGUUGAAGACUGCACCACCUAAGACUCUGCAACCUGAUGAUGAUUCAGAUGAUGAUCAUAAGCCACUUGUUCAGAGGUUCAACCCAGCAAAAGGGGCUUCUAAUAAUAGCACAAGUAAGCCCGUUUUAUUGAAGCCUGCACCUAAGAUUGUGCAAUCUGAUGAUGAUUCAGAGGAUGAGAAACCACUUGCCAGCAGGUUACCCACUAAUGCUGCUCCAAAAAGUAGAGGUAGUACCUCUGAUUCAGAGGAUGAGAAGCCACUGUCUGCCCGAUUUUCAAGAGGUACUGCAGGUACAUCUGCGAGUAUCUCAAAUUCCAAGGACAAGCUCCCGUCUAACAACAAGGGGCCAACCAAUAAUUCGAGUGCUCCCCGGAAUUCAGUUAAAAGGCCAGGUGAUAACAAUAAUCAAACAAGUUCAGCUCUUAAGAAGACCAAAUCUUCUGAUGCUUCUGCCUCAGGAAGUGUCAAAAGAGAAUCCAAGGAUGAUGACAGUAACAGUGUACCCGUCGAAAGAAAACUGACACCGGGGGAGUCUUCAAAAAGCAAGCCACCUGUAAAGAAUAUUGUAAAGAAGAGUCCUUUAUCCGUUAAGAAGGAUAAUAAGAAAUUCAAAACAAAAACAAAGAAAACAAUGAAAAGUUCCCAGUUCUCAAAAUCACUGAGGGUGCCUCCAGGAUCUGGCGGUGGAAAGAAAUGGUCUACUUUGGAGCACAAUGGUGUUAUUUUCCCCCCUCCAUACAAUCCCCAUGGCGUCAAAAUGCUUUACAAUGGGCAACCUGUUGAGCUGACUCCAGAAGAGGAGGAGGUUGCAACCAUGUUUGCUGUGAUGAAAGACACGGAGUACGCAACAAAGAAAACAUUUAUCGACAACUUUUUUGGUGACUGGAAAAAAAUUCUUGGUAAAAACCAUAUCAUCAAGAAAUUUGAGCUUUGUGACUUCACCCCUAUUUAUGAAUGGCACCUCAGAGAGAAGGAGAAGAAGAAACAGAUGACAUCGGAGGAGAAGAAAGCAUUGCGGGAAGAGAAAUUGAAACAAGAGGAGAAGUAUAUGUGGGCUGUUGUUGAUGGUGUUAGAGAGAAGGUUGGCAAUUUCAGAGUAGAACCACCAGGCUUGUUCAGGGGACGAGGAGAGCAUCCUAAGAUGGGAAAACUGAAGAGACGUAUUCGUCCAAGUGAUAUUACAAUAAACAUUGGAAAAGGCACUCCAGUCCCAGAGUGUCCAAUAGAGGGACAAAGCUGGAAAGAAGUCAAACAUGACAAUACUGUUACAUGGUUGGCCUUUUGGAAUGACCCGAUUAGCCAAAAAGAUUUCAAGUAUGUUUUCUUGGCAGCAAGCAGCUCACUAAAGGGACAGAGUGACAAGGAGAAAUAUGAGAAGUCCCGAAAAUUGAAGGAUCACAUACACAACAUUCGUGUAAAUUACACAAAGGAUUUCAAUAGCAAAGAUGUCUCCAAGAAGCAAAUUGCAGUGGCAACAUACCUCAUAGAUAAACUAGCCCUUAGGGCUGGUAAUGAGAAGGAUGAUGAUGAGGCUGAUACUGUUGGUUGUUGUACGCUGAAGGUUGAUAAUGUUACCUGUGUGCCUCCAAAUAAGCUUCAGUUUGACUUCCUUGGUAAAGAUUCUAUAAGAUAUUUCAACACUGUAGAGGUUGAAUUACCUGUAUACAAUGCGAUUGAGGAAUUCCGUACUGGCAAAAAGGAUGGAGAUGCUGUCUUUGACCAGCUUGAUACAACGAAACUGAAUCAUCACCUGAAGGACUUGAUGCCUGGCCUUUCUGCGAAAGUGUUCCGUACAUAUAAUGCUUCGAUUACCUUGGAUGCUAUCUUGCACGAAGAAACAGAAGAUGGAACCCUUCUUGAAAAGAUUGCUGUCUAUCAACGAGCAAACAAAGAGGUUGCUAUAAUUUGUAACCAUCAGCGUGCUGUGUCAAAGUCACACGAUACCCAGAUGACUAAGCUGAAUGAAAAGAUUGAUGAAUUAAAGGCCCAGGUGGAUGAGCUGAACAAAGAUUUGGGCAAAGUGAAGAGAGGAAAACCUCUAGGCAACGGUGCAGAUGGGAAGCCAAAGAGAACUUUGGCACCUGAAGCGAUUGAGAAGAAGAUCUCUCAGAUAGAAACCAAGAUAGAGAAAAUGGAGAUGGAUAAGAAGACGAAAGAGGAUUUGAAGACGGUAGCAUUAGGGACAUCAAAGAUCAACUACCUUGACCCUAGAAUUACGGUAGCAUGGUGCAAAACCCAUGAAGUCCCUAUUGAGAAGAUUUUCAGCAAGACGAUUCUUGCAAAGUUUGGAUGGGCAAUGGACGUCGAGCCGGAUUUCAGAUUCUAA